GAUGAAGAACGUAGCGAAAUGCGAUAAGUAAUGUGAAUUGCAGAAUUCAGUGAAUCAUCGAAUCUUUGAACGCACAUUGCGCCCGCCAGUAUUCUGGCGGGCAUGCCUGUUCGAGCGUCAUUACAACCCUCAGGCCCCCGGGCCUGGCGUUGGGGAUCGGCGGAAGCCCCCUGCGGGCACAACGCCGUCCCCCAAAUACAGUGGCGGUCCCGCCGCAGCUUCCAUUGCGUAGUAGCUAACACCUCGCAACUGGAGAGCGGCGCGGCCACGCCGUAAAACACCCAACUUCUGAAUGUUGACCUCGAAUCAGGCAGGAAUACCCGCUGAACUUAAGCAUAUCAAUAAGCGGAGGA
RNAcentral lists this unclassified non-coding RNA (353 nucleotides) under soil metagenome. RNAcentral's name for it is "partial contains 5.8S ribosomal RNA, internal transcribed spacer 2, and large subunit ribosomal RNA". The stretch from base 1 to 120 matches the Rfam family "5.8S ribosomal RNA", at positions 35 to 154 of the family's 154-position model. The record is from RNAcentral.